RNAcentral lists this ribosomal RNA (1600 nucleotides) under human gut metagenome. RNAcentral describes it as "bacterial LSU rRNA". It matches the Rfam family "Bacterial large subunit ribosomal RNA", at positions 975 to 2453 of the family's 2925-position model. The record is from RNAcentral.
UUCCGGCAGUGAGUCGGCGGGGGAUAAGCUCCGUCGUCGAGAGGGAGACAGCCCAGACCGUCGUCUAAGGUCCCGAAGCGUGUGCUAAGUGGGAAAGGAUGUGGAGUCGCAUAGACAGCCAGGAGGUUGGCUCAGAAGCAGCCAUCCUUGAAAGAGUGCGUAACAGCUCACUGGUCUAGUGGUUCCGCGCCGACAAUGUAGCGGGGCUCAAGCACACCACCGAAGACGCGGCAGCAAUCUUCAUGGUUGCUGGGUAGGAGAGCGUCCUGCAUGGGGCGAAGCGGCCGGGUAACCGUGCCGUGGACCGUGUGGGAGUGAGAAUGCAGACAUGAGUAGCGAGAGACGGGUGAGGAUCCCGUCCGCUGGAUGACCAAGGGUUCCGGGGCCACGUUCGUCGUCCCCGGGUGAGUCGGGUCCUAAGGCGAGGCCGACAGGCGUAGUCGAAUGGAUGAACGGGUGGAUAUUCCCGUACCGACCAUGGACCGGCAAAACCGAGACGGUGAGUACUAACCUCCGCCUCGUGGUGGUUCCUUCCUUCGGGUUGGUUCCGCCGCGUGGUGUUGGGAGCGUAGCCGCAGUAGGUCAGCGCAGGGGUGACACGGAAUGGGAGCCGGCCGCGGAGGUGGUUUUCCGUGGUCAAGCACGCAGCCAGUCAUGUAGGCAAAUCCGCAUGGCGCGCAUGGCGAGGUGUGAUGAUGGGAGCCGUUGUGGCUCGAUAUCCGGUUGUCCAGGCCGUCGAGAAAAGCCUCGGCGUGAGGGCCAUGGCCGCCCGUACCCCAAACCGACACUGGUGGUCAGGUAGAGAAUACCAAGGCGAUCGAGCGAAUCCUGGUCAAGGAACUCGGCAAAUCACUCCCGUGCCUUCGGUAUAAGGGAGACCCACUGGGGUGAAGGACCUUGCGUCCGGAGCUUUGGUGGGUGGCACAGACCAGGGGGUAGCGACUGUUUACCAAAAACACAGGUGCAUGCGAAGGCGAAAGCCGCUGUAUAUGCACUGACGCCUGCCCGGUGCCGGAAGGUUAAGAGGAUCCGUCAAUCCUUCGGGAUGAAGCGGUGAAUUCAAGCCCCGGUAAACGGCGGUGGUAACUAUAACCAUCCUAAGGUAGCGAAAUUCCUUGUCGGGUAAGUUCCGACCUGCACGAAUGGCGUAACGACUUCCCCACUGUCUCGACCAGGAGCUCGGCGAAAUUGCAGUACGAGUAAAGAUGCUCGUUAAGCGCAGAAGGACGAAAAGACCCCGGGACCUUUACUAUACCUUGGUAUUGGCGUUAGGCGCGGAUUGUGUAGCAUAGGCGGGAGGCUUCGAAGCGUGGGCGCCAGCUCAUGUGGAGCCGCAAGGUGAAAUACCGCUCUGUUCUCGUUUGACGUCUAACCUCGACAAGUCAUCCUUGUCAGGGACAGUGCCUGGCGGGUAGUUCAACUGGGGCGGUUGCCUCCCAAAGAGUAACGGAGGCGCUCAAAGGUCCGCUCAGCCCGGUUGGCAAUCGGGUGUCGAGUGUAAUCGCACAAGCGGGCUUGACUGCGAGGACGACGGUCCGAGCAGGGACGAAAGUCGGAGAUAGUGAUCCGGUGCCGGCGCACGGGCGCGGCAUCGCUCAAC